CCUCAAAAAAAAAAUGUUAGAUAUACAUAGAGCAUUGCCCGAUAGAUCAAAGCGUCUCCUGCUUCUCCUCCUCGGCGGUGGACCUAACAGCCAGUAGACCCGAUCCGCAAGGCCUGCGACGAUGGCGGCUUCCCUUCGGGCUGCGGCGACGAGGAUCCUGCGUCCGGCUGGGCAUGGGCUUCGCCGACUCGGCCACACCCAGGAAGUAUCUUGACCUCCGUUACAUCUCCAGCUCGCUAUUUUAUCUAUGGCCUGAUGCCUGAUUCUUGCUCUGAUUGGUGGAGGCCCUUCCUUCUGCUCGACUUGCUAUUCUAUAUUAUAGUAUCAUCAUAGCAUUCCGGAUCCACCCGUGCCUUGGAGGAAGGGUACCCUACAGUGCAAAUCCAACAGAAGAAGGAGGAGCUCUACGAUCUCAUCGCCGAUGCCUAUGCCAAUUCCGAGACUUCCCAGGCUGAUAGAUAUGUGCUCAAGGUUCUCUCCACACAAAUCAAGCCGAGGCCACGGGACCCUCAGUGGUGUGAGAUAACUACAAUCAAGAAGGCGGGCGAGUGGUUUCUGGGAGGGUUUUAUUUUGUUGGUGGUAUCAUAAUUCUUAGUGGGCUUGCUCAGGGUGUGCGUAAGCGGGCGGAGCUCGAGAUGCCCAAGCCUGUGGAGCCGCGCAGAAUCAAAAAGAAACUGCAGAAGCAAGUCGAGUGAAGACGAAAUGCAUCUUGUUUGAUGGAGAAGCAAGGCGGAUAUUAGUUCUUCUCCAACACUCUCUUAUUCAGGCCUCUUAAACUAUGGCAAAUCGUUAGGAUUUAUCAUUUCUGUGAACUAUAUAUAUAUAUGUCUAUGAUGUGCCACCUAUGAGUGGAGUAGUAUUAUUACUGGAUGAUCUGUGAUCGCAUUGUAAGAUAUUUUGUGAUG
This is an RNA transcript of Triticum aestivum (bread wheat), 906 nucleotides long. RefSeq lists it as uncharacterized. Lineage: Eukaryota; Viridiplantae; Streptophyta; Magnoliopsida; Poales; Poaceae. The record is from RefSeq and is a predicted model, not a curated record. The transcript is spliced from 4 exons.